This 253-nucleotide ribosomal RNA is filed under the name uncultured bacterium. Its description in RNAcentral is "partial 16S ribosomal RNA". It matches the Rfam family "Bacterial small subunit ribosomal RNA", at positions 524 to 776 of the family's 1533-position model. The record is from RNAcentral.
CACGUAGGGCGCAAGCGUUGUCCGGAAUUAUUGGGCGUAAAGAGCUCGUAGGCGGUCUGUCACGUCGGCUGUGAAAACCUGGGGCUCAACUCCGGGCCUGCAGCCGAUACGGGCAGACUAGAGUUCGGCAGGGGAGACUGGAAUUCCUGGUGUAGCGGUGAAAUGCGCAGAUAUCAGGAGGAACACCGGUGGCGAAGGCGGGUCUCUGGGCCGAAACUGACGCUGAGGAGCGAAAGUGUGGGGAGCGAACAGG